This 596-nucleotide long non-coding RNA is filed under the name Geospiza fortis (medium ground-finch). RNAcentral describes it as "lncRNA (ENSGFOG00000010996.1)". The record is from RNAcentral. Lineage: Eukaryota; Metazoa; Chordata; Aves; Passeriformes; Thraupidae.
AUUUUUAAGGGUGUCUUUUCUUCCACAGCUCCUUUCUCCCAGCUGAAAACCUACUGGGAUAUUUGGGCUUAUUUGAGAUGAACUGCUCUGAGCCUCAGAGGAUCCUGUGAGGGUAUUUCACACAAAAAAAAUGAAGACAUCAGGAUGACAAACCCAGCAGGUUGUGCACAGGGGUGAGGCAGCGGUGGCUGCUCCAGGGGAUUUCUUCCACCUCCCAACAUAAAAAUAAUGGCAUCACUUCAUAAUGGCUUGGAACUGCUGCUCUAAUGAGGGAAAACUGAAUCUCUCUACCCAGAGGUACACAAUUGUCCUGGUCAGGCUCUGAGAUGUUAAAAAUACUGUGUAUUUGUCCAUGGAGGCUAUGUCUGGGAUUCCAGCAGGGAAUGAGCCUCCUGUGCUUGGGAACCCACUGUGGGUUGGGGCAGUUUUCACUCAGGGAGCCUCCCUCCCACUUUAUUCCUUUGCAGAUUAUCUCUGGUGUAUUAAAUGAAGGAGGGAGGCCUUGCUCUUAUCAAGUUACCACGUGGAAGGAGAUUACUGUUAUUCAUCAUCUUAUACCAAUUAGUGUGAUAAGGGACAGCCCUGUCAUGGCAUGA